GUCUUGAGGACACCGUGGAAGGUCGAACGUUGGAGGAGUCCGAGAUACGAUUUUGCUGUGGAAGUUUGGACGGAGUCCGGCUCUCGUAGGAGUCUAGAUGAAGUCCUCUUAUUGUAGAAGCUCGAUCGAAGAUCAGUUGUCGUGGAAGCUCAGAUGGAGACUUCUUAUUGUAGAAGUCCCGCUGCUGGAGAAGCUCGAUCAUUGACGAGGUCUGGAAGAAGUUUGGGG
This 228-nucleotide long non-coding RNA is filed under the name Elaeis guineensis (African oil palm). RNAcentral's name for it is "long non-coding RNA (EGUI_LNC065123)". Lineage: Eukaryota; Viridiplantae; Streptophyta; Magnoliopsida; Arecales; Arecaceae. The record is from RNAcentral.